UACGUAGGGUGCGAGCGUUGUCCGGAAUUAUUGGGCGUAAAGGGCUCGUAGGCGGUUUGUCGCGUCGGGAGUGAAAACACCGGGCUUAACUCGGUGCUUGCUUUCGAUACGGGCAGACUAGAGGUAUGCAGGGGAGAACGGAAUUCCUGGUGUAGCGGUGAAAUGCGCAGAUAUCAGGAGGAACACCGGUGGCGAAGGCGGGUCUCUGGGCCGAUACUGACGCUGAGGUGCGAAAGCGUGGGGAGCGAACAGG
This 253-nucleotide ribosomal RNA is filed under the name uncultured bacterium. RNAcentral describes it as "partial 16S ribosomal RNA". It matches the Rfam family "Bacterial small subunit ribosomal RNA", at positions 524 to 776 of the family's 1533-position model. The record is from RNAcentral.